AGAAUCAACGCUGGCGGCGUGCCUAACACAUGCAAGUCGCACGAGAAAGGGACUUCGGUCUCGAGUAAAGUGGCGCACGGAUGAGUAACACGUGACUAAUCUACCCUCGAGUGGGGAAUAACUGAGAGAAAUCUUAGCUAAUACCGCAUAACACUUACGAGUCAAAGCAGCAAUGCGCUUGGGGAGGAGGUCGCGGCCGAUUAGCUAGUUGGCGGGGUAAUGGCCCACCAAGGCGAUGAUCGGUA
This 245-nucleotide ribosomal RNA is filed under the name uncultured bacterium. Its description in RNAcentral is "partial small subunit ribosomal RNA". It matches the Rfam family "Bacterial small subunit ribosomal RNA", at positions 26 to 285 of the family's 1533-position model. The record is from RNAcentral.